UGAGAAUGGAAGCAGUACAGAAGAAAGAAAGGAUAAUAAAGUUGAAAAUGAAGUGGAUGGGUAUGAUAACCAGAAAGGAAAGACGAAAAUUAAUGAGAAAGGAAAGACGGAAAUGAAUGAGAAAGACGGAGAGAAGGGUAAGGUGGAAAGCUGUGUCCAUAGUAAUAGACCUAGGAGAGCAGCAGCUUUGGAUGCACAUUGGAGAACACAAGUCAUGUUUGACCCUUACAGGCUCAAAGGGGGGAGUGUGUAGAAUAAUUUGUAACAUUAUACUAUUAAUAACGCCGUAUAGGAGACCAAACAAUGAGUGGUUUAAUUGAUUGACGUAAGAAAUGUAUCGUAUGUCAUAAAUAAUAGACUUCGAAUUGAUUGUCAGACUGAAAGCACGAGAGAAAACCAGAAGGAU
This is a non-coding RNA of Paramuricea clavata, 406 nucleotides long. The record is from the annotation of a GenBank genome assembly. NCBI's taxonomy places the organism in Eukaryota, Metazoa, Cnidaria, Anthozoa, Malacalcyonacea, Plexauridae.